Molecule: transfer RNA, 66 nt
Filed under: uncultured Ruminococcus sp.
Lineage: Bacteria; Bacillati; Bacillota; Clostridia; Eubacteriales; Oscillospiraceae
Rfam family: tRNA
About the family: Transfer RNA (tRNA) molecules are approximately 80 nucleotides in length.
Source: RNAcentral
GGUAUAGCCAAGUGGUAAGGCAACGGACUUUGACUCCGUCAUUCCGCUGGUUCAAAUCCAGCUACU